GGUUGGUCCAAAGGUAGUGAGUUAUCUCAGUUGACUGUUCACAGUCAGUUACAGAUCAAACUCCUUGUUCUACGCUUUCCUCCAUCUCACUACGACUAGUCUUAA
This is a Y RNA of Callithrix jacchus (white-tufted-ear marmoset), 105 nucleotides long. It matches the Rfam family "Y RNA". Rfam says of the family: Y RNAs are components of the Ro ribonucleoprotein particle (Ro RNP), in association with Ro60 and La proteins. The Y RNAs and Ro60 and La proteins are well conserved, but the function of the Ro RNP is not known. Lineage: Eukaryota; Metazoa; Chordata; Mammalia; Primates; Cebidae. The record is from Ensembl.